Molecule: ribosomal RNA, 896 nt
Filed under: Fibroporia citrina
Lineage: Eukaryota; Fungi; Basidiomycota; Agaricomycetes; Polyporales; Fibroporiaceae
Description: eukaryotic LSU rRNA
Rfam family: Eukaryotic large subunit ribosomal RNA
Source: RNAcentral
CCCCUAGUAACUGCGAGUGAAGCGGGAAAAGCUCAAAUUUAAAAUCUGGCGGUUUAUUAGCUGUCCGAGUUGUAGUCUGGAGAAGUGCUUUCCGCGCUGGACCGUGUACAAGUCCCUUGGAACAGGGCGUCAUAGAGGGUGAGAAUCCCGUCUUUGACACGGACUACCAGUGCUUUGUGAUGCGCUCUCAAAGAGUCGAGUUGUUUGGGAAUGCAGCUCAAAAUGGGUGGUAAAUUCCAUCUAAAGCUAAAUACAGGCGAGAGACCGAUAGCGAACAAGUACCGUGAGGGAAAGAUGAAAAGCACUUUGGAAAGAGAGUUAAACAGUACGUGAAAUUGCUGAAAGGGAAACGCUUGAAGUCAGUCGCGUUGUCCGGAAAUCAGCCUUGCUUUUUUUUGCUUGGUGUAUUUUCUGGUUGACGGGCCAGCAUCGAUUUUGACCGUUGGAUAAAGGUGAGGGGAAUGUGGCACCUUCGGGUGUGUUAUAGCCCCUUGUCACAUACAACGGUUGGGAUCGAGGAACUCAGCACGCCUUUUAUGGUCGGGGUUCGCCCACGUUCGUGCUUAGGAUGCUGGCAUAAUGGCUUUAAACGACCCGUCUUGAAACACGGACCAAGGAGUCUAACAUACCUGCGAGUGUUUGGGUGGUAAACCCGAGCGCGUAAUUAAAGUAAAAGUUGAGAUCCCCUUCACAAGGGAGCAUCGACGCCCGGACUUGACCUUCUGUGAUAGCUCUGCGGUAGAGCAUGUAUGUUGGGACCCGAAAGAUGGUGAACUAUGCCUGAAUAGGGUGAAGCCAGAGGAAACUCUGGUGGAGGCUCGUAGCGAUUCUGACGUGCAAAUCGAUCGUCAAAUUUGGGUAUAGGGGCGAAAGACUAAUCGAACCAUCUAGUAGCU